This 170-nucleotide microRNA precursor is filed under the name Triticum aestivum (bread wheat). RNAcentral's name for it is "MIR2118 microRNA precursor family". It matches the Rfam family "MIR2118 microRNA precursor family". The record is from Rfam by way of RNAcentral. Lineage: Eukaryota; Viridiplantae; Streptophyta; Magnoliopsida; Poales; Poaceae.
GUGGGGAAGAGGAAGAAAGGGAGCAUGUAAGAUCAGUGGGAAUAGGAACACUGAGGGAAUCAUAUAGCUCAAUUUUCCUUCCUAUAUUGGAGGUAACAAUUUUUUUUUGUGUUUCCCUAGUGCCUCGUAUUCCUAUCAUUAUUAGGUACUACCUCCUCUUCCUUUUGUCU